Molecule: transfer RNA, 72 nt
Filed under: Chloroflexota bacterium
Lineage: Bacteria; Bacillati; Chloroflexota
Description: Chloroflexi bacterium tRNA-Ala
Rfam family: tRNA
About the family: Transfer RNA (tRNA) molecules are approximately 80 nucleotides in length. Their secondary structure includes four short double-helical elements and three loops (D, anti-codon, and T loops).
Source: RNAcentral
GGGCCAGUAGCUCAACGGUAGAGCGCCACCCUUGCAAGGUGGAGGCUAGGGGUUCGAAUCCCCUCUGGUCCA